RNAcentral lists this long non-coding RNA (307 nucleotides) under Gallus gallus (chicken). RNAcentral's name for it is "lncRNA (ENSGALG00010020266.1)". The record is from RNAcentral. Lineage: Eukaryota; Metazoa; Chordata; Aves; Galliformes; Phasianidae.
GUGGCCUCCUGAGCAGCCCCGGCUCUCCUGGGGUUUGUUGUCCCAUCUCGGGCAGUACUGCCCGCAGGGAGACCUGCAAGGCACAGCCAUUCCCAGCAGCCAGACCUGCCAGGAAGCGUUUUCCCUCAUCUCCAUCCUCAGAUCUUCAGCAUCUUCGUGCUCUUCAAAUCGUGCUGGAGAGGUUCCGGUUGGAUGCUGGGAAGCAUUGUUUUCUGAAAGAGAGAGCCAGAUGCUUGACAUUAGUGACACUGUUGAGGCUCUUGUUUUUGAAGACCCGGAUUGCUUUGGGAACGGCGGCGGCGCUGAC